RNAcentral lists this ribosomal RNA (497 nucleotides) under uncultured bacterium. Its description in RNAcentral is "partial 16S ribosomal RNA". It matches the Rfam family "Bacterial small subunit ribosomal RNA", at positions 28 to 507 of the family's 1533-position model. The record is from RNAcentral.
GAUGAACGCUGGCGGCGUGCCUAAUACAUGCAAGUCGAGCGAACAGACGAGGAGCUUACUCCUCUGACGUUAGCGGCGGACGGGUGAGUAACACGUGGAUAACCUACCUAUAAGACUGGGAUAACUUCGGGAAACCGGAGCUACUACCGGAUAGCAUGUUGAACCGCAUGGUUCAACAGUGAAAGACGGUCUUGCUGUCACUUAUAGAUGGAUCCGCGUCGCAUUAGCUAGUUGGUAAGGUAACGGCUUACCAAGGCAACGAUGCGUAGCCGACCUGAGAGGUUUAUCGGCCACACUAGAACUGAGCCACGGUCCAGACUCCUACGGGAGGCAGCAGUAGGGAAUCUUCCGCAAUGGGCGAAAGCCUGACGGAGCAACGACGCGUGAGUGAAGAAGGUCUUCGGAUCGUAAAACUCUGUUAUUAGGGAAGAACAAAUGUGUAAGUAACUAUGCACGUCUUGACGGUACCUAAUCAGAAAGCCACGGCUAACUACGUG